AGUGGGAUAGCUGGGUCAAAUGGUGGUUCCAUUCCCAGAUUUCCAAGGAAUCUCCAUACUGCUUUCCAUAUUGGCUGCACCAAUUUGAAUCCCCACCAGCAAU
Molecule: microRNA precursor, 103 nt
Filed under: Marmota monax (woodchuck)
Lineage: Eukaryota; Metazoa; Chordata; Mammalia; Rodentia; Sciuridae
Source: RNAcentral